UACGUAGGUCCCGAGCGUUGUCCGGAUUUAUUGGGCGUGAAGCGAGCGCAGGUGGUUUAUUAAGUCUGGUGUAAAAGGCAGUGGCUCAACCAUUGUAUGCAUUGGAAACUGGUAGACUUGAGUGCAGGAGAGGAGAGUGGAAUUCCAUGUGUAGCGGUGAAAUGCGUAGAUAUAUGGAGGAACACCGGUGGCGAAAGCGACUCUCUGGCCUGUAACUGACACUGAGGCUCGAAAGCGUGGGGAGCAAACAGG
Molecule: ribosomal RNA, 252 nt
Filed under: uncultured bacterium
Lineage: Bacteria
Description: partial 16S ribosomal RNA
Rfam family: Bacterial small subunit ribosomal RNA
Source: RNAcentral